UACGGAGGAUGCAAGCGUUAUCCGGAUUUAUUGGGUUUAAAGGGUGCGCAGGUUGUUUGAUAAGUCAGUGGUGAAAGUCUGUCGCUUAACGGUAGGAUUGCCAUUGAUACUGUUGGACUUGAAUAUGGAUGAGGUAGGCGGAAUGUGUAGUGUAGCGGUGAAAUGCAUAGAUAUUACACAGAACACCGAUUGCGAAGGCAGCUUACUAAUCCAUCAUUGACGAUGAGGCACGAAAGCGUGGGGAGUCAAACAGGA
Molecule: ribosomal RNA, 255 nt
Filed under: uncultured prokaryote
Description: partial 16S ribosomal RNA
Rfam family: Bacterial small subunit ribosomal RNA
Source: RNAcentral